GACAGCUUGGCCGACGAGUGGUUAAGGCGAUGGACUUGAAAUCCAUUGAGGCAACCCGCGUGAGUUCAAACCUCACAGCUGUCG
RNAcentral lists this transfer RNA (84 nucleotides) under Phytophthora megakarya. It matches the Rfam family "tRNA". From Rfam's summary of the family: Transfer RNA (tRNA) molecules are approximately 80 nucleotides in length. Their secondary structure includes four short double-helical elements and three loops (D, anti-codon, and T loops). The record is from Rfam by way of RNAcentral. Lineage: Eukaryota; Oomycota; Peronosporomycetes; Peronosporales; Peronosporaceae.